UGAUCGGGGCUAAGUCGUAGCAAGGUAGCAGUAGGUGAACCUGCAGAAGGAUCA
Molecule: ribosomal RNA, 54 nt
Filed under: uncultured eukaryote
Lineage: Eukaryota
Description: partial small subunit ribosomal RNA
Source: RNAcentral